GCGAAUUGAUGGGCACGAGGUGGCGGACGGGUCUGAGAGUGGAGGCUGCGACUGCAACAAAUGCAACUGCGGUAGCAGCUGCAGCUGUGCUUGCUGCGGCUGUAACUGAGGCUUUCAAGAGCCAAUGGAGGCCAUGCUCUACUUCUUAAGUGACAUUUAAUAUCAUAUGUGAGAGGGCAUGGCCAAAUCUAAAUAAGAGGAGUAUAAGCAGAGCUGUAUCGACUUUUAUCAUGAAUGCUAUUUCUCCUUAAGUAGCACUAAA
RNAcentral lists this long non-coding RNA (262 nucleotides) under Musa acuminata (dwarf banana). RNAcentral's name for it is "long non-coding RNA (MACU_LNC004091)". Lineage: Eukaryota; Viridiplantae; Streptophyta; Magnoliopsida; Zingiberales; Musaceae. The record is from RNAcentral.